This 88-nucleotide small RNA is filed under the name Pantoea allii. RNAcentral describes it as "partial RtT sRNA". It matches the Rfam family "RtT RNA", at positions 1 to 90 of the family's 130-position model. From Rfam's summary of the family: This family represents a bacterial cis-regulatory element known as RtT RNA. Lineage: Bacteria; Pseudomonadati; Pseudomonadota; Gammaproteobacteria; Enterobacterales; Erwiniaceae. The record is from RNAcentral.
CAUAGUUAUCUGGGGAGAGGGAUGAGAACCUUCGAUCAAGGUUCGAGUCGAGCAUCGCGAGACAACGCGCGCAAGCGCGGCCCGCAGG